Molecule: ribosomal RNA, 449 nt
Filed under: uncultured bacterium
Lineage: Bacteria
Description: partial 16S ribosomal RNA
Rfam family: Bacterial small subunit ribosomal RNA
Source: RNAcentral
AACGAACGCUGGCGGCAUGCCUAACACAUGCAAGUCGAACGAGAUCUUCGGGUCUAGUGGCGCACGGGUGCGUAACGCGUGGGAAUCUGCCCUCUGGUUCGGAAUAACAGUUGGAAAGGUCAGCUAAUACCGGAUGAUGACUAAAGUCCAAAGAUUUAUCGCCAGAGGAUGGGCCCGCGUAGGAUUAGCUAGUCGGUGGGGGAAAGGCGCACCAAGGCGACGAACCUUAGCAGGUCUGAGAGGAUGAUCAGCCACACUGGGACUGAGACACGGCCCAGACUCCUACGGGAGGCAGCAGUGGGGAAUAUUGGACAAUGGGCGAAAGCCUGAUCCAGCAAUGCCGCGUGAGUGAUGAAGGCCUUAGGGUUGUAAAGCUCUUUUACCCGGGAUGAUAAUGACAGUACCGGGAGAAUAAGCUCCGGCUAACUCCGUGCCAGCCGCCGCUGUAA